Molecule: ribosomal RNA, 745 nt
Filed under: Escherichia coli
Lineage: Bacteria; Pseudomonadati; Pseudomonadota; Gammaproteobacteria; Enterobacterales; Enterobacteriaceae
Description: partial 23S ribosomal RNA
Rfam family: Bacterial large subunit ribosomal RNA
Source: RNAcentral
CCCCGGCGAGGGGAGUGAAAAAGAACCUGAAACCGUGUACGUACAAGCAGUGGGAGCCUCUUUUAUGGGGUGACUGCGUACCUUUUGUAUAAUGGGUCAGCGACUUAUAUUCUGUAGCAAGGUUAACCGAAUAGGGGAGCCGAAGGGAAACCGAGUCUUAACUGGGCGUUAAGUUGCAGGGUAUAGACCCGAAACCCGGUGAUCUAGCCAUGGGCAGGUUGAAGGUUGGGUAACACUAACUGGAGGACCGAACCGACUAAUGUUGAAAAAUUAGCGGAUGACUUGUGGCUGGGGGUGAAAGGCCAAUCAAACCGGGAGAUAGCUGGUUCUCCCCGAAAGCUAUUUAGGUAGCGCCUCGUGAACUCAUCUCCGGGGGUAGAGCACUGUUUCGGCAAGGGGGUCAUCCCGACUUACCAACCCGAUGCAAACUGCGAAUACCGGAGAAUGUUAUCACGGGAGACACACGGCGGGUGCUAACGUCCGUCGUGAAGAGGGAAACAACCCAGACCGCCAGCUAAGGUCCCAAAGUCAUGGUUAAGUGGGAAACGAUGUGGGAAGGCCCAGACAGCCAGGAUGUUGGCUUAGAAGCAGCCAUCAUUUAAAGAAAGCGUAAUAGCUCACUGGUCGAGUCGGCCUGCGCGGAAGAUGUAACGGGGCUAAACCAUGCACCGAAGCUGCGGCAGCGACGCUGAUGCGUUGUUGGGUAGGGGAGCGUUCUGUAAGCCUGUGAAGGUGUGCUGUGAGG